Long non-coding RNA from Piliocolobus tephrosceles (Ugandan red Colobus), 2564 nucleotides. RefSeq lists it as uncharacterized. The transcript has 3 exons. Lineage: Eukaryota; Metazoa; Chordata; Mammalia; Primates; Cercopithecidae. The record is from RefSeq and is a predicted model, not a curated record.
UGAUAAUCCACCACCCUUUGCUGACUCUCUUUUCGGACUCAGCCCCCCUGCACCCAGGUGAAAUAAACAGCCUUGUUGCUCACACAAAGCCUAUUUAGGGGUCUCUUCACACGGACAUGUGAGACAUUUGGUGCCGAAAACCCAGGUCAGUGGGACUCCUUCGGGAGACCCUGUCCUCACUCUCACUCGGUGAAGAGAUCCACCUACGACCUCGGGUCCUCAGACCAACCAGCCCAAGGAACAUCUCACCGAUUUUAAAUCGGGUAAGCGGUCUCUUUUUACUCAUUUCUCCAACCUCUCUCACUAUCCCCCAACCUCUUUCUCCUUUCAGUCUUGGCGCCACCCUUCAAUCUCUCCCUUCUCUUAAUUUCAAUUCCUUUCAUUUUCUGGUAGAGACAAAGGAGACACAUUUUAUCUGGGAACCCAAAACUCCGGCGCCGGUCACGGACUCGGGAAGGCAGCCUUCCCUUGGUGUUUAAUCAUUGCGGGGACACCUCUCUGACUAUUCACCCAUGUUCCAUUGGUGUCUCAUCUCCGCGGGGACGCCUGCCUUGAUCAUUCAUCCAGGUUCCCUUGGUGGCAAGUCAAUUGCGGGGACGCCUGCUUUGGCUGCUCACCCACGUUGCGGCCCAGGACUGCUCCCCACACCCCUUCUCUGUGUCACUACCCUUCUCUUUAAACUUGCCUCCUUCACUAUGGGCAACUUUCCACCCUCUAUUCCUCCUUCUUCUCCCUUAGCCUGUGUUCUCAAGAUCUUAAAACCUCUUCAACUCUCGCCUGACCUCAAAUCUAAGCAUCUUAUUUUCUUCUGCGGUACCGCUUGGCCCCAGUACAAACUCGACAGUAGUUCCAGGUGGCCAGAGAAUGGCACUUGCGAUUUGUCUCUCCUACAAGAUCUAGAUAAUUUUUGUCGAAAAAUGGGCAAAUGGUCUGAAGUGCCUGACGUCCAGGCAUUCUUUUACACCUUGGUCCCUCCCUAGUCUCUGCUCCCAAUGAGACUCUUCCCAGAUCUUUCUUCUUUCUCUCCUGUCUGUUCCUUGAGUCUCCACCUCAAGCUCUGAGUCCUUUGAAUUUUUCUUUUCUACAGACUCAUCUGACUGCUCCCCUUCUUCCCAGGCUGCUCCUCACCAGGUCAAGCCAGGUCCCAAUUUUUCCUCAGCCUCUGCUCCCCCACCCUAUAAUCCUUCUAUCACCUCCCCUCCUCACACCCAGUCUAGCUUACAGUUUCGUUCUGCAACUAGCCCUCCCCCACCUGCCCAGCAAUUUCCUCCUAAAAAGGUGGCUGGAGCUAAAGGCAUAGUCAAGGUUAAUGCUCUUUUUUCUUUAUCCAACCUUUCCCAAAUCAAUUAGCAUUUAGGCUCUUUCUCAUCAAAUAUGAAAAACCCAGCCCAGUUCAUGGCUCAUUUGGCAGCAACCCUGAGACGCUUUACCACACUAGACCCUAAAACGUCAAAAGGCCAUCUUAUUCUCAAUAUGCAUUUUAUUAUCCAACCCACUCCCAACAUUAGAAAAAGCUCCAAAAAUUAGAAUCCGGCCCUCAAAUCCACAACAUGACUUAAUUAACCUCGCCUUCAAGGUGUACAGUAAUAAAGUAGAGGCAGCCAAGUAGCAAUGUAUUUCUGAGUUGCAAUUCCUUGCCUCCACUGUGACACAAACCCCAGCCACAUCUCCAGCACACAACUCCAAAUGCCUGAACUGCAGCUGCCAGGAGUUCCUCCGGAACCUCCUCCCGCAGGAGCUUGCUACAAGUGCCAGAAAUCUGGCCACUGGGCCAAGGAAUGCCCGCAGCCCGGGAUACCUCCUAAGCCAUGUCCCGUCUGUGCGGGACCCCACUGGAAAUUGGACUGUCCAACUCACCUGGCAGCCACGCCCAGAGCCCCUGGAACUCUGGCCCAAGGCUCUCUGACUGACUCCUUCCCAGAUCUUCUCAGCUUAGCGGCUGAAGACUGACGCUGCCCGAUCGCCUCGGAAGCCUCCGGGACCAUCAGAGACAUUUUGGGUGACUCUUACAGUGGAGGGUAUGAUGCAAGUGGAUAUAAAAUCAUGUUGCUAGAAUUCUCCAUGAAGGUCACAGGCCCCUGUGACAAGGCAGGUACACCCUGCCUUGUACCUGAAGGCCUGGUUCUGAAGCUAAGGGAGCUGCUGUAACCAGGAUCUGGUCUCACAUCAGUCUGGAGAGUGGUUGCCACUUCUUGGCUCUAGAGAACCCCCAACUUAUGUGGCUAGCGGCCCCCCAUCAUCGUGGGAUCAUUGUGCUCAGUGUGAUCACUUUGAGGAAUAUGGACAGAGAUUAAGAUUGAGAUUGAUGGAGAAAGAGAAAUACCCUAUCAAGAGCAAUAGCAGCAGAGACAGAGUGGCUCUGUGACUAGAAGGACUCCUGUGAUGGGUACGUGAACACGUAGGCUGGUCCCAGUAACUGCACCUCAGUGACCUUUCAGGCUCCAUGAGUCCUGAUUGCUAUGUGACAAUGUAUUCUAGCUUCCUGUGCAGCUUUACAAUAACCUCAGUAUCUGAGGUCACUUAUCUCUGUUCCUCUUCUGGCAAAAGAACCUAAUAAAAUACAU